RNAcentral lists this unclassified non-coding RNA (242 nucleotides) under uncultured fungus. RNAcentral's name for it is "partial contains 5.8S ribosomal RNA, internal transcribed spacer 2, and large subunit ribosomal RNA". The stretch from base 1 to 52 matches the Rfam family "5.8S ribosomal RNA", at positions 103 to 154 of the family's 154-position model. The record is from RNAcentral. Lineage: Eukaryota; Fungi.
AACGCACAUUGCGCCCUCUGGUAUUCCGGGGGGCAUGCCUGUUCGAGCGUCAUUACAACCCUCAAGCUCUGCUUGGUAUAGGCCUUACCUGCUACAGGCAGGCCGUAAAAUCAGUGGCGGUGCCAUUCGGCUUCAAGCGUAGUAAUUCUUCUCGCUUCGGAGUACCGGUUGCGUGCCUGCUAUAAAACCCCAAUUUAUCAAAGGUUGACCUCGGAUCAGGUAGGGAUACCCGCUGAACUUAA